AGCCAACCAUGCUGCACUGCAGACUGUAUCCUCUGUGAGUAGCUCAAUGGAACAGAGGGAAGCUGUUUGAGGAGCAUGGUCUGAUCUCCUGCACAGAGUAAGGAACAUCAAAGUCCAGAAAUCAUCUAAUUUUCCUCCAUUCAGCCUUACAACCUGAUUUGGCUGAGAUAAAACUGGCAAUAGAUAACCUGCCAGUGUUACCAGGGCAACUCUUGAGGGAACAGAUCUUCUGCAAAAGCAAUGAAAUGGAGAGAUUAUGCCUCGUAGAAAGGGAGGAAUAACAAAAGACAGAAAUCUUUCAUAAAAAAUCACAAUAAAAU
This 320-nucleotide long non-coding RNA is filed under the name Parus major (Great Tit). RNAcentral describes it as "lncRNA (ENSPMJG00000002126.1)". Lineage: Eukaryota; Metazoa; Chordata; Aves; Passeriformes; Paridae. The record is from RNAcentral.